GAGUUUGAUCGUGGCUCAGGAUGAACGCUGGCGGCGUGCCUAACACAUGCAAGUCGAACGAAGCAUGCCGGAGGAAGUUUUCGGAUGGAAUCCGGGAUGACUGAGUGGCGGACGGGUGAGUAACGGCGUGGGUAACCUGCCCUGUACGAGGGGGACAACAGUUAGAAAUGACUGCUAAUACCGCAUAAGACGCACAGGUACCGCAAUGGUCCGGUGUUGAAAAACUCCGGUGGUACAGGAUGGACCCGCGUCUGAUUAGGUAGUUGGCGGGGUAACGGGCCCACCAAGCCGACGAUCAGUAGCCGACCUGAGAGGGUGACCGGCCACAUUGGGACUGAGGACACGGCCCAAACUCC
This 356-nucleotide ribosomal RNA is filed under the name uncultured microorganism. RNAcentral's name for it is "bacterial SSU rRNA". It matches the Rfam family "Bacterial small subunit ribosomal RNA", at positions 9 to 339 of the family's 1533-position model. The record is from RNAcentral.